Molecule: non-coding RNA, 647 nt
Organism: Epinephelus lanceolatus (giant grouper)
Lineage: Eukaryota; Metazoa; Chordata; Actinopteri; Perciformes; Serranidae
Source: RefSeq, a predicted model, not a curated record
UGGAGCUGUCAUGGCGUCCGUCUUUGUUUACAGUCUGUGCUUGUAAUUAGGCAGCACAUGGAAACCAAACAUUGACACAAAGCCUUUAUAUCACUCUUGUGUCCCAUUAGUGCACAUUGUGAGGACAUACUUCUUGAAACAGAUGGAUUUCCAGAUUGGGAGAAGGUUGACAACAAAAGUAAAGCUCGAAAAGCUGCAAACAUUGCCACAAUACAUGACUUGCCCUCUCCACUGUUGACCUGAAUUAAGCGUCCUGUUUUGGAAAGAGCCAUGAUACACCAGCUCACCAUCUGCGUCAGUCGGGGUCUGAAAUUUCCUCGAGAAUUUCAUCCAGUUGCUUUUCUGGGUCAUCGGCUAAACAGUUCUUGAGGUCUUCAUCUGUCACAGUCUCGUCUCGGACCAGCUCAAUAAGUGUCUUCUUUCUUGUCCGACAUUUCCAACUCGGAGUGAUGUAAUAAAUCUCUAUACAGUGCAACAUCUUCAACAUCCAAGAGAGGAGCAGUGAUCGGUCAGAUGUUGAUGACUCAAAACGCUUCAGAAGAGCAUUGAACAAGUCUGUGGCAUCUGCUGGGCUCCAUUUGAUGUUUGUAACCAGUCCCUGCAGCUUGUCGAAAAGAUGCUUUUCAUUAUUGUCAGAAGUCAACAAA